GGAAGGGGUGUAUUUAUUAGAUAAAAAACCAAUGCCCUUCGGGGCUCUUUGGUGAUUCAUGAUAACUUAACGGAUCGCAUGGCCUUGCGCCGGCGACGGUUCAUUCAAAUUUCUGCCCUAUCAACUUUCGAUGGUAAGGUAUUGGCUUACCAUGGUUUCAACGGGUAACGGGGAAUUAGGGUUCGAUUCCGGAGAGGGAGCCUGAGAAACGGCUACCACAUCCAAGGAAGGCAGCAGGCGCGCAAAUUACCCAAUCCCGACACGGGGAGGUAGUGACAAUAAAUACUGAUACAGGGCUCUUUCGAGUCUUGUAAUCGGAAUGAGUACAAUUUAAAUCCCUUAACGAGGAACAAUUGGAGGGCAAGUCUGGUGCCAGCAGCCGCGGUAAUUCCAGCUCCAAUAGCGUAUAUUAAAGUUGUUGCAGUUAAAAAGCUCGUAGUUGAACCUUGGGCCUGGCUGGCCGGUCCGCCUCACCGCGUGUACUGGUCCGGCCGGGCCUUUCCUUCUGGAGAGCCCCAUGCCCCUCACUGGGCGUGCGGGGGAACCAGGACUUUUAC
Molecule: ribosomal RNA, 557 nt
Filed under: uncultured fungus
Lineage: Eukaryota; Fungi
Description: SSU rRNA
Rfam family: Eukaryotic small subunit ribosomal RNA
Source: RNAcentral